CAACCUUGCGGCCGUACUCCCCAGGCGGUCAACUUCACGCGUUAGCUUCGUUACUGAGUCAGUGAAGACCCAACAACCAGUUGACAUCGUUUAGGGCGUGGACUACCAGGGUAUCUAAUCCUGUUUGCUCCCCACGCUUUCGUGCAUGAGCGUCAGUACAGGUCCAGGGGAUUGCCUUCGCCAUCGGUGUUCCUCCGCAUAUCUACGCAUUUCACUGCUACACGCGGAAUUCCAUCCCCCUCUACCGUACUCUAGCUAUGCAGUCACAAAUGCAGGUCCCAGGUUGAGCCCGGGGAUUUCACAUCUGUCUUACAUAACCGCCUGCGCACGCUUUACGCCCAGUAAUUCCGAUUAACGCUCGCACCCUACGUAUUACCGCGGCUGCUGGCACGUAGUUAGCCGGUGCUUAUUCUUACGGUACCGUCAUUAGCCCCCUGUAUUAGAAGGGACCGUUUCGUUCCGUACAAAAGCAGUUUACAACCCGAAGGCCUUCAUCCUGCACGCGGCAUUGCUGGAUCAGGCUUGCGCCCAUUGUCCAAAAUUCCCCA
This 548-nucleotide ribosomal RNA is filed under the name uncultured bacterium. RNAcentral's name for it is "partial 16S ribosomal RNA". The record is from RNAcentral.